CGACGCCGCGUGAGGGAUGACGGCCUUCGGGUUGUAAACCUCUUUCAGCAGGGACGAAGCGAGAGUGACGGUACCUGCAGAAGAAGCACCGGCCAACUACGUGCCAGCAGCCGCGGUAAUACGUAGGGUGCGAGCGUUGUCCGGAAUUACUGGGCGUAAAGAGCUCGUAGGCGGUUUGUCGCGUCGUCCGUGAAAACUUGGGGCUCAACCCCAAGCUUGCGGGCGAUACGGGCAGACUUGAGUACUGCAGGGGAGACUGGAAUUCCUGGUGUAGCGGUGAAAUGCGCAGAGUCAAGAGGAACACCGGUGGCGAAGGCGGGUCUCUGGGCAGUAACUGACGCUCAGGAGCGAAAGCGUGGGUAGCGAACAGGAUUAGAUACCCUGGUAGUCCACGCCAUACACGGUGGGCGCUAGGUGUGGGUUUCCUUCCACGGGAUCCGUGCCGUAUCUUACGCAUUAAGCGCCCCGCCUGGGGAGUACGGCCGCAAGGCUAAUACUCACAGGAAUUGACGGGGGCCCGCACAAGCGGCGGACCAUGUGGAUUAAUUCAAUGCAACGCGUAGAACCUUACCUGGGUUUGACAUAUACCGG
This 591-nucleotide ribosomal RNA is filed under the name Nocardiaceae bacterium Se1Ps_2073. RNAcentral's name for it is "bacterial SSU rRNA". It matches the Rfam family "Bacterial small subunit ribosomal RNA", at positions 392 to 994 of the family's 1533-position model. Lineage: Bacteria; Bacillati; Actinomycetota; Actinomycetes; Mycobacteriales; Nocardiaceae. The record is from RNAcentral.